UACGUAGGGGGCGAGCGUUGUCCGGAUUUAUUGGGCGUAAAGAGCUCGUAGGCGGUUUGGCAAGUCGGGUGUGAAAACUCCGGGCUCAACUCGGAGACGCCACUCGAUACUGCCAUGACUUGAGUCCGGUAGGGGAGUGCGGAAUUCCUGGUGUAGCGGUGAAAUGCGCAGAUAUCAGGAGGAACACCGGUGGCGAAGGCGGCACUCUGGGCCGAUACUGACGCUGAGGAGCGAAAGCGUGGGGAGCAAACAGG
RNAcentral lists this ribosomal RNA (254 nucleotides) under uncultured bacterium. RNAcentral's name for it is "partial 16S ribosomal RNA". It matches the Rfam family "Bacterial small subunit ribosomal RNA", at positions 524 to 776 of the family's 1533-position model. The record is from RNAcentral.